RNAcentral lists this ribosomal RNA (397 nucleotides) under uncultured bacterium. RNAcentral's name for it is "partial 16S ribosomal RNA". It matches the Rfam family "Bacterial small subunit ribosomal RNA", at positions 523 to 918 of the family's 1533-position model. The record is from RNAcentral.
AUACGUAGGUGACAAGCGUUAUCCGGAUUUACUGGGCGUAAAGGGCGUGUAGGCGGUCUUGCAAGUCAGAAGUGAAAUUCCUGAGCUCAACUCGGGCGCUGCUUCUGAAACUGCAGGACUUGAGUGCUGGAGGGGAUAGCGGAAUUCCUAGUGGAGCGGUAAAAUGCGCAGAUAUUAGGAAGAACACCGGUGGCGAAGGCGGCUAUCUGGACGGUAACUGACGCUGAGGCGUGAAAGCGUGGGGAGCAAACAGGAUUAGUUACCCUGGGAUUCCACGCCGUAAACGAUGAAUACUAGGUGUAGGGGGUAUCGACUCCCUCUGUGCCGCAGGUAACACAAUAAGUAUUCCGCCUGGGGAGUACGGCCUCAAGGUUGAAACUCAAAUGAAUUGGCGGGG